AACCCGGAGGAAGGAGGGGAUGACGUCAAGUCCUCAUGGCCCUUAUGCCCAGGGCUACACACGUGCUACAAUGGGGGGUACAGAGGGAUGCGAACCCGCAAGGGGGAGCUAAUCCCAGAAAGCCCUCCUCAGUUCGGAUCGGGGUCUGCAACUCGACCCCGUGAAGCCGGAAUCGCUAGUAAUGGCGGAUCAGCAUGCCGCCGUGAAUACGUUCCCGGGCCUUGUACACACCGCCCGUCACACCACGGAAGCUGGUCCCACCCGAAGUCACUACCCUAACCCGGCUUUAGCUGGGAGGGGGGUGCCUACGGUGGGGCUGGUGACUGGGGUGAAGUCGUAACAAGGUACCCCUACCGGAAGGUGGGGGUGGAUCACCUCCUUUCUAAGGAG
RNAcentral lists this ribosomal RNA (390 nucleotides) under Thermodesulfobacterium sp. Its description in RNAcentral is "bacterial SSU rRNA". It matches the Rfam family "Bacterial small subunit ribosomal RNA", at positions 1160 to 1533 of the family's 1533-position model. Lineage: Bacteria; Pseudomonadati; Thermodesulfobacteriota; Thermodesulfobacteria; Thermodesulfobacteriales; Thermodesulfobacteriaceae. The record is from RNAcentral.